GCGGGGGCGGGGCCGCGGCGCCUAUAAAGUCGCCCUCCGCCCGGACGUAAACAAACCUCGCCUGGCUCCCAGCUGGUGCUGAAGCUCGUCAGUUCACCAUCCGCCCUCGGCUUCCGCGGGGCGCUGGGCCGCCAGCCUCGGCACCGUCCUUUCCUUUCUCCCUCGCGUUAGGCAGGUGACAGCAGGGACAUGUCUCGGGAGAUGCAGGAUGUAGACCUCGCUGAGGUGAAGCCUUUGGUGCCCUGCUCUGUUGGUGGUUGGGGACAGCUCGCCUGCAGUGGAUGCCGUGGUUCCUGUACUACUGCCUUGUACUUUUCAUUUUGGCUCACCGUGGAUUUUCUCAUAGGAAGUUUGGUCAGAGUGAAUUGAAUAUUGUAAGUCAGCCACUGGGACCCGAGGAUUUCUGGGACCCCGCAGUUGGGAGGAGGAAGUAGUCCAGCCUUCCAGGUGGCGUGAGAGGCAAUGACUCGUUACCUGCCGCCCAUCACCUUGGAGGCCUUCCCUGGCCUUGAGUAGAAAAGUCGGGGAUCGGGGCAAGAGAGGCUGAGUACGGAUGGGAAACUAUUGUGCACAAGUCUUUCCAGAGGAGUUUCUUAAUGAGAUAUUUGUAUUUAUUUCCAGACCAAUAAAUUUGUAACUUUGCAGCGG
This 648-nucleotide long non-coding RNA is filed under the name Homo sapiens (human). RNAcentral's name for it is "non-protein coding lnc-NDRG1-1:2". Lineage: Eukaryota; Metazoa; Chordata; Mammalia; Primates; Hominidae. The record is from RNAcentral.